CCUGACUGUAAAAUAAACAUUUUGCUCCCAUACCUCAUCAGCCAGCUCCAACACAGUAACUGGGCUGGGUACUCCCGGGCGCUGCUUGAAGUCUUCAGCAGUUUCAAAACUCAGCUUCACAAUUCCACCUCAUUUCCAGAGGCAGCUCAUCUUUAACUUGAGCUCAGGCUAGGCUGUUUUGGAUUGGCUCGCAGCGGGCGCCAUCCUUACGGCGUACGGAAACCGCGCCCGGCGGCUCCCCGCAGCUCCCUGCCGGGCUCAGUCAGAGCCCCGCGCUGAAGCGCCCCACGGCGCCGCGAAGGGCGAAAUGGCGUACAGGGCUACGCCGCACGGGCAGCGCGGCCGGGCCCACCCCGCCGGAGCGACGCCUCGGGGGCGGGACGGACAGCGUAACGCUGCCGGC
Molecule: long non-coding RNA, 403 nt
Filed under: Gallus gallus (chicken)
Lineage: Eukaryota; Metazoa; Chordata; Aves; Galliformes; Phasianidae
Source: RNAcentral